RNAcentral lists this ribosomal RNA (292 nucleotides) under uncultured bacterium. RNAcentral describes it as "partial 16S ribosomal RNA". The record is from RNAcentral.
GGACUACUAGGGUUUCUAAUCCUGUUCGCUCCCCACGCUUUCGCGUCUCAGCGUCAGUACCGUCCCAGAGAGCCGCUUUCGCCACGGGUGUUCUUCCUGAUAUCUGCGCAUUCCACCGCUACACCAGGAAUUCCACUCUCCUCUUCCGGACUCUAGCCAAAUGGUUUCGGUCGACGUCUGAAGGUUAAGCCUCCAGUUUUCACAACCGACCUACCUGGCCGCCUACACGCUCUUUACGCCCAAUAAAUCCGGACAACGCUUGCCCCCUACGUAUUACCGCGGCUGCUGGCAC